RNA transcript from Homalodisca vitripennis (glassy-winged sharpshooter), 816 nucleotides. RefSeq lists it as uncharacterized. The record is from RefSeq and is a predicted model, not a curated record. The transcript is spliced from 2 exons. NCBI's taxonomy places the organism in Eukaryota, Metazoa, Arthropoda, Insecta, Hemiptera, Cicadellidae.
UGAGCUACACAGAAUCCUCUUUGUCAAAUGUAAUUGCUAUUUGGCUCUUGCUGUGUUUUGGAGUGUAUUAUUUAUUCCGCUACUGAACAAUUAAGUAUGUGAGAGGGAAUUUAAUAACUACAGCAAUAGUGUUAUUAACAGAUAUUACAAUGCAUUGACAGAUUGUAGCUAGAGAUAAGAUUGUUUGUGAUAGACUGUUUUUUGAUUGUAGUUGUUACUUCAAACAUUAAAAUGAGCCAUGUAGAUCUGCAGUACAACAACACACUCCCCACUUUGCUGCACAGGUACGGAAAUGACAUCUGUCAUUCCAUCCACUCAAGAUCAGCUGAUGCUAUGGACCUCAGUCUGAUGCUGGUGCUACACCUGUGUAUCGUACACGACCUGGAGCUGAAGGGUAGGGACUGUGAUGUUCUGAGGCAGUUAAUGACACGAGGUGGACCUGUCUUCCUCCAGAGACCUCACAAGAAUUUAUUCUUUGACAGAACACGCCUUAUGGCACGUUUCAACUGGACAAAGAAGCAAUACAGUUUGGUGAGAAUUGGGUUUGAUAAAAAUGUACAUAAGUGGAAUCAUGUUGUUAGUCUAAUGAAGAUUACCAGAGUUUAGUACUUGUGGUGAACUGAGCCAUUCAGUUGUAUAUAUAUAUAUAUAGAAAAGUAUGUAGUCUUGUGUGCUCUGAAGACUUCCAGGUUGAGUAACUCCUGGAAGAGUUCCUUGACAUUGUGGUUGGUCUUAGCCGAGGUCUCCAUGAAGUGACAGCCCCAUCGCGCUGACUCAGCCUCUCCCUCGGACGCUGCCACCUCGCGGUUUUCAUUU